Molecule: long non-coding RNA, 246 nt
Filed under: Linum usitatissimum (flax)
Lineage: Eukaryota; Viridiplantae; Streptophyta; Magnoliopsida; Malpighiales; Linaceae
Description: long non-coding RNA (LUSI_LNC003927)
Source: RNAcentral
CGAUGCGGUUGUUAGUCUAUGAAUCAGGUAAUUAUCAGAUCUGACCAAAUAGCCAUCCUACCUCCUCUACGUUCUUGACGACCCAUCUUUGUCUCAGUAGAGUUUUUAUGUGGUAUGUUUUGGUUCUAUUCCCCAUUACUUAGAAGAAAAAAGUGAGCCCUCGGUUCGGGUACAAGAGACUAUCAUUACCACCUAGACACAUCCAACCCGUAAUCUUUGUUAAUCUAUCUCGACCAAUUCAUCGAG